This 339-nucleotide ribosomal RNA is filed under the name uncultured Clostridium sp. RNAcentral describes it as "bacterial SSU rRNA". It matches the Rfam family "Bacterial small subunit ribosomal RNA", at positions 152 to 508 of the family's 1533-position model. The record is from RNAcentral. Lineage: Bacteria; Bacillati; Bacillota; Clostridia; Eubacteriales; Clostridiaceae.
CGAAAGGAAGAUUAAUACCCCAUAGGUAUUUCUUUGUCAUGUUAGAAAUAUUAAAGGAGCAAUCCGCUAUGAGAUGGACCCGCGUCGCAUUAGCUAGUUGGUGAGGUAACGGCUCACCAAGGCGACGAUGCGUAGCCGACCUGAGAGGGUGAUCGGCCACAUUGGGACUGAGACACGGCCCAGACUCCUACGGGAGGCAGCAGUGGGGAAUAUUGCACAAUGGGGGAAACCCUGAUGCAGCAACGCCGCGUGAGUGAUGACGGUCUUCGGAUUGUAAAGCUCUGUCUUUAGGGACGAUAAUGACGGUACCUAAGGAGGAAGCCACGGCUAACUACGUGC